GUAGUGGAAAAGAAGAGUUAGUAGGAUACGGGGGAUAUGGCUCUGUUUAGAAAUUUUGUUUUAGAGCAAAUCCCAUCUGCACUGUUAGGAAAUCAGCAGUUCAGUUUACAGGAUUCAACAGUGGCAGCUCGAUCCGCCCCCAAAUACUUUAUGGAAAUCCCAGCAGUCUAGCUCAGUAGUGUUGGACAGCAAACGUUGAAGCACCCAGACCUCAGCCAAAUCCGCACAAGUCAGCAGGAGCUGCCAAGGCCACCUGGAGCACCAGGAGAAGUUCUCUGCCAUGCCUCUCUCUGAGACCAGGAAGCGCUGCAAAGCUAGUUAUGCAAGUCAGCCCCUGUCACUGUCAGUGGAGUCCUCUUUAAACUCCUUCCAAACAUCACAUGCCCUCCACGGGUCUUGCCUCAGCAUGUGAGUCUAUCUUAGCAAAACUCCAUGCGAGUCUGUAUCAGCUGACAUCACUCUGCCAAUCGGCCCAAGUCUGAAGAAGCGGCAAGAAGCCACCAGAACACCAUCAGAAGGGUUUUGGGGCAUGUCUUUCUAUGGAGUCAAGAUAUAUGGAACUCAACUAUGCGAGAACUGCGUGUGCUCCCUCAGAUGUCCUUUGAGAUGACCUUGACAUGACCCAUGGAGCUGCCAUUUGUCACAGGGACUUGAUUUUCACUCAUUGUGACAUGGAGGAAGGAGCUUUCGUUUGUCACUGUGAGAGCUGACACACCCAGAAGGCCCUCACCAGGAGCUGACACACCCAGAAGGCCCUCACCAGAAGCUGACACACCCAGAAGGCCCUCACCAGGAGCUGACACACCCAGAAGGCGGCCCUCACCAGGAGCUGACACACCCAGAAGGCCCUCACCAGGAGCUGACACACCCAGAAGGCCCUCACCAGGAGCUGACACACCCAGAAGGCCCUCACCAGAUGUUGAACAGAUGUCUGUGCUCUGUUCUUAGACUUGCGUGCCUCCAGAACCGUGAGCCAAGCAAUUCUGCUUAUGGAUUACCUUCCCGUGGGAUUGUUAUUGUAAACUAGAUUAGGAAAGAGAACAUUGUGCUUUGCAAAGCAGAGCUCUAAUUGUGGAGAGGGUUGUUCAUGGCAAGGCAGAAGAAGCACUGCUUGGCAGAUAAGGCAGAAUCUAAUUUCCUUUUUAACCAUUAAAUUCCCUUCACAGGUUAUUCCUAAUAAACCCAUGCAAAAUUAAACCUUGACCUAACAUCAGUCCUGUUUUUGUAGGUCCAUGUUACCUCCUAUGUAAUAAAAAUAUUCCAGGUAAGAGAA
This is a long non-coding RNA of Mastomys coucha (southern multimammate mouse), 1273 nucleotides long. RefSeq lists it as uncharacterized. The record is from RefSeq and is a predicted model, not a curated record. The transcript is spliced from 3 exons. Lineage: Eukaryota; Metazoa; Chordata; Mammalia; Rodentia; Muridae.